CCAAUAGCGUAUAUUAAAGUUGUUGCAGUUAAAAAGCUCGUAGUUGAAUUUCGGGAUCAAUAUAUCGGUCAUGCUUAGGUAUGUACUGGUAUUAUUGAUUUCUCCCUUCUGAAGAACCAUGAUGUCAUUUAUUUGAUGUCGUGGGGAAUCAGGACUGUUACUUUGAAAAAAUUAGAGUGUUUAAAGCAGGCUUUCGCUUGAAUACAUUAGCAUGGAAUAAUGAAAUAGGACGUUUGAUUCUAUUUUGUUGGUUUCUAGGAUCGACGUAAUGAUUAAUAGGGAUAGUUGGGGGCAUUAGUAUUCAAUUGUCAGAGGUGAAAUUCUUGGAUUUAUUGAAGACUAACUACUGCGAAAGCAUUUGCCAAGGAUGUUUUCAUUAAUCAAGAACGAAAGUUAGGGGAUCGAAGACGAUCAGAUACCGUCGUAGUCUUAACCAUAAACUAUGCCGACUAGGGAUCGGAUGAUGUUAAUUUUUUAAUGACUCAUUCGGCGCCUUACG
RNAcentral lists this ribosomal RNA (499 nucleotides) under uncultured Glomeromycotina. RNAcentral's name for it is "partial small subunit ribosomal RNA". It matches the Rfam family "Eukaryotic small subunit ribosomal RNA", at positions 591 to 1092 of the family's 1831-position model. Lineage: Eukaryota; Fungi; Glomeromycota. The record is from RNAcentral.